Molecule: unclassified non-coding RNA, 376 nt
Filed under: soil metagenome
Description: partial contains 5.8S ribosomal RNA, internal transcribed spacer 2, and large subunit ribosomal RNA
Rfam family: 5.8S ribosomal RNA (bases 1-120)
Source: RNAcentral
GAUGAAGAACGCAGCGAAAUGCGAUAAGUAAUGUGAAUUGCAGAAUUCAGUGAAUCAUCGAAUCUUUGAACGCAUCUUGCGCUCCUUGGUAUUCCGAGGAGCAUGCCUGUUUGAGUGUCAUUAAAUUCUCAACUACACUGACUUUGAAUUGGUGUGGCUUGGAUUUGGGGGGAAAAUUGUUGUGGGCUUUUUGUAUAGUCUGCUCCCCUGAAAUUGAUUAGCGGUACCUUUGUGGAACUGUCUACAGGUGUGAUAAUUAUCUACAUCUUAGACAUCUGCUGGAAUGCUGCUUUCUAAACCUUACUUGUAUUGACAAUCUUGACCUCAAAUCAGGUAGGACUACCCGCUGAACUUAAGCAUAUCAAUAAGCGGAGGA